This is a non-coding RNA of Aspergillus fumigatus Af293, 92 nucleotides long. NCBI's taxonomy places the organism in Eukaryota, Fungi, Ascomycota, Eurotiomycetes, Eurotiales, Aspergillaceae. The record is from the annotation of a RefSeq genome assembly.
UCUUCCGCACAGUGUGACUCCUUGUUUUCUUUUGGGCAAUCCAAGGACUCGACGAGCGGCAACUGGUCUGGAUGGAUUGAAUCCGAUUAUAU